UCCUACGGGAGGCAGCAGUGGGGAAUAUUGGACAAUGGGCGAAAGCCUGAUCCAGCAAUGCCGCGUGGGUGAAGACGGCCUGCGGGUUGUAAAGCCCUUUAGGCGGGGAGGAACGACGGGGCGUGAACAACGUUUCGGAGUGACGUUACCCGCGGAAUAAGCACCGGCUAACUUCGUGCCAGCAGCCGCGGUAAUACGAAGGGUGCAAGCGUUACUCGGAAUUACUGGGCGUAAAGCGUGCGUAGGUGGUUUGUUAAGUCUGAUGUGAAAGCCCUGGGCUCAACCUGGGAAUGGCAUUGGAAACUGGCAGGCUAGAGUGCGGUAGAGGAUGGCGGAAUUCCCGGUGUAGCAGUGAAAUGCGUAGAGAUCGGGAGGAACAUCUGUGGCGAAGGCGGCCAUCUGGACCAUGACUGACGCUGAGGCACGAAAGCGUGGGGAGCAAACAGGAUUAGAUACCCUGGUAGUCCACGCCCUAAACGAUGCGGACUGGAUGUUGGGCUCAACUCGGAGCUCAGUGUCGAAGCUAACGCGUUAAGUUCGCCGCCUGGGGAGUACGGUCGCAAGACUGAAACUCAAAGGAAUUGACGG
This 588-nucleotide ribosomal RNA is filed under the name uncultured Dokdonella sp. RNAcentral describes it as "bacterial SSU rRNA". It matches the Rfam family "Bacterial small subunit ribosomal RNA", at positions 337 to 916 of the family's 1533-position model. Lineage: Bacteria; Pseudomonadati; Pseudomonadota; Gammaproteobacteria; Lysobacterales; Rhodanobacteraceae. The record is from RNAcentral.